RNAcentral lists this long non-coding RNA (6854 nucleotides) under Taeniopygia guttata (zebra finch). RNAcentral's name for it is "lncRNA (ENSTGUG00000024326.1)". The record is from RNAcentral. Lineage: Eukaryota; Metazoa; Chordata; Aves; Passeriformes; Estrildidae.
AAAAUGUACUGCAUAUAUUAUCUUUUAUGUAUCAAUUUCAUUCAAUACUGAAUACAUACAGAGUAUCAAACAGUAGAUUCUGAAAUGCUCAAUUAAAAACACCAUCAGAAAAAAUAAUUAACAUUGAAGUUGGGAAUUGAAGUCACACUAAACCCAAAAUCUGACCUGCACAUAGCAACAACAGGUUGCAGACUUAUUGCUCCAAUGCACUAAGCUCUUGUAUACUGUUUAAAGUAAUGCAGUGUAAGCUCAGACUUGGAAUCAUUGAAGCGCCCUAGCACAAAAGUUCAAAUUCCAACCGGGCUGACUCAGUCCUUCCCCCUUCCAAAGUACAUAAAUCUAGUUCCAUGUAGUUUUACUGUGAAAGGGACUCUAAAAAGCAGGGGUCCUUCUCCCUGCUGUGGCAAAGCUGAGGAUUCCCUCUCCUAUAUUUUCAAUUGUUCCCUGGCAUUCUUCAUGGCUGAACUGACUGGCAGGCUUCAUGAUGGAUCCAGCAAUUAGGAGGUUUCUUGUUGAUAUUAAACAUGUUGCAUUUCAAGUCCAGUAUCAAGUUAUAGAAAUACAAAUGAUCUGGUGCAGUAAUUUACAGUUAGUGCAAUAUAGCUCCAAAAACUGGUGACAAAGAAAAUUCCCUACUGCAUUUUAAGAUGAAUAACCUAAAACAUUGUAGAACAGUGACACCAAAUCCAAAAUUAAGAAGUUAUUGUUUGUUUUCUUACAAAUACUUCCCUUACAAAGAAAUGUUCUAGAAUGCUAGCAAUAUGCAGGAUACACCAAAUUUGCAGACAAUUUACAGGCAGAAUUGUUUGGCCAAUGUCCAUGAUGCAGUCACUAAGGAUUUACUGCAACUGUUCUACCUUCAGUAGGAGGUGUGGGGAAAGUUAAUGAUCUUCAUUAACAUCAGUAAAAGCAAGGCAGCAUCACAACAAAAUGCAGAAAAUACACUGAUGUUACACAUUUUCAUUACUCUUUUUCCAUCAAAUAGGUUUUGCAGCUAUGAGCAGACACUGAACAGACCCAGAUCUCCCUAACUCCACUAAGGUUCUUUCCUACAGAAACUCAUUUCCAGCAUUUUUGCAUUGCCAGCAAAGAAAUAAGUGGAGAGACAAUAACUUCAGAGCUAGCUAAUAGAAGUGCAGAAAAGAUAAGUAUGUGCAUAAUUGAAGCAAUCCACAAGUGAGGAGAGAAAAAAGGAGUAUCUGGUGCAAGACAAACAGGUAGAAGUGUGUCUGAGAGAAGAGUUGAGAUUUUAUCCUGUGGUGAUAAAGAAAUGAGUCAUCAUCUAUCACUAUGAAUAAACUCUAACGUCAAAUCAUUUGAUGUGGUAACUUAAAACCACAUUCAGUUUUAGAUUCUUUUCUAAAGCUACAUCAAAGAACAGGAACUUCCAAUAAUUCUCAUUAAGCACCACAGAUUUACGCAGGCACUCCAGUUCUUUGGCUCUUGAAAAACAAUUUUCUCAGUGCUUCAGGACAGCUUUAUGAAAUACCUCAGGGAAAAUAUAAUUAUCUACUUGGGGAAAUUACACACACAGGGCAAAAUAACCCCCCAAACAUUACCUAGUAGGCCACAGCACAAAAGGCAAAAAAACAGCUUUAAGAGUCUUGUCAGAUGCUGCAAUCACAUACACCCUUUCAAUAGUUACAGUUAUUAAAGCAGCACAAAUAGUGACAACUGCACUUAAAAGUGUUCAGCAUUAUCAGAUCAUACUUUUAUUCAUUUAAAUGGUGCAUGAGCAUCAACAAUUACACACUCUAGUAAGUGUAGUGGCUUCUUCACAAUAUUGUGCCAGUUUCAAAGCUAAAAUGCUUCAGAGCAAGGUGCAAGAAAUUCCAAGGGAAAUCUGCUUCCAGAACGAAAAUAUAUACCUAUGCCUCUUCUUGUAGAUUGCAAGGGCUUUUUUAGCCCUAUCAGUAUAUAGUGGCCACCAUGCCACUUUCUACAUCUUCCAGACAAAAAUCAUCAUUCAAGGAGGAAUCCAAAGCAGAAUAAUUAUCAACAGAAAGCUACUGACAACUCCUUUGGAAACAUUAUAAAAUCCUAUCUUAAUGUUUCCAGAAAGCGAGUAGAUCCUCCAUAGUCGCAAAUUAUCUUAGAGCUAUCACAGGAAAGAUUACUUAGAGAUAAAUCCAAUCGUUCUGAAAAAAACUAUGACUGAAAAUGGCAAUGGUAAUUAUUGCAAACUUAACCAGAGUAAUAUAAUAUAUCCUAUGCAGCUUAAAAACAUCUUGGCAUAUCAAGUCUCAGUAAGGUUUAAAAGCAAGCUUUUCCCCAAAUUCCAGUUACUCAAAGGUUAAGAGAUAAAUCUUCCCACUCCCCCUCUUCCAAUUACCUCAAUUUCUGAAAAAGAUGAAAAAAUGUAUAGACAUAUUAACAUUAUAUCCUAUGACCUCAGUAGUGUGAUCUCCAAGUGGAUUCAGAGGAUAACUUGCAGAAAGAUGGCAUGACAACAUCGAAAGAGCACAUGCAGGUCACUCAUAAAAGCAAGAAAACAGUUACUUAAACAGGAAAAUAGUUACUUUAGGAAUGUUUCAAUUAAAGCAAUGUUUCAGAAAUUUAUUUUCUACAUUUCAGCAAUGUGAAACAAGAAAAACAUUCCCAGGUAAUUUUGUGACACUUCUUCACUGAUAAUGUUUUGCAACCUAAACCCAGGAGGAGGAACUUAAGGCUAGUUUGAACAAGAUGUAACGUAUGCAGACAGUAUCUCAGGAGAAUGCAGCACAUACUGACUCAUAAAAGCAACCCUUCCAGGUUAGAGGCAUCUUAGGUUUACAGAAGUGGGAUGCAGCUACCAUUUCUUGUCAAGCUGACAGUUUAGGCAUUCAAUAUCAAUAAAAUCUCUGAAGGAACUGGACUAAUACUAUGCUUCUACUGCAUGACCUUUUGGAAAUAAAUGCCUUGAAAUGGUAUAAUCACUUACAUGCUCAAAAAACCCUUUUCAUUUCAUCAGAAAAGAAUCUGGCCUGUUUCUCAGCAGAAGCUUGGUAUCUCUUAACAGUUAAUCCCAUAUGUAUUUCCAAGCUAAAGGGCCAAAGGAAGGCUGACUACUUCAAAGUUUGAUGUUAGGUCUAUCCUUUAAAAGCCAGCAUUUCAAGUGUUAAGAGUUUUACAGCAACACCAACUGAGCUCUGCUGUAAGAUAAGCACCUUUUCCUUGCUGAAUGCACCCAGACUUCAGGCUCAUUAACAAAGCACUGGACCACCCUCCCUCCAACUUUGCAGUUGGAGGGAUAAUUCAGAUAAUUAUCAUUCAGAUAAUUAAAAAUAAUGCUGAAGUUUGUUCAAUGGCCUAGAAGUUAUUUUCCAGGCUCUUCCCAAGCUGGAGCUAUAGUCCCCCACAAGACCAUUUCCUCACAUGCUCUAGAUCCAAUCAGAUGGGCAGUGUGCAGAUCCAGGGAAUAGGAAAAGCUAAUUGGACAGACUCCUUUGGUCUUAAGUAACCUCUGGUAUCCCAGUCAAGAAACACAGACAGACUUGCCUGUCCAGGAUAUCAAACCUAAACCUUUCUCUGUAGGGCAAACAGAAAAUUUCAAAGCAUUCAAAUCCUUCAAAGACCCAAAGGGAUGAUCAUCUAACUGAAGAAACCCACUUGUGUAUAAUCUACCAAAAAUAACCCACCUUUAGAAGAUAACAGAAGCUAAAGCACCAGUUUAAAUACAUACCCAGCAUUGUUCAGACAAGGAGCUUUUGAUAAACCCAGCUGAAACCAAAAUUGCUACAAAAUUCUUAGGUCAGUGGAGCUGAAGGGAGGGAACAAAACAGCAAGAGAAAGCCUUUGGGCACACAAGGUACUACUGCAUUUCUGAGGGGAUCCAAACCUUCUGCUAUGUAAAGACUGAGGCUGACGUACCCCAUCUGUGACCUGCUCAGCUCUGCAUGUUUGUCUAAAAUCCAGUUUUAGGUAUAACCACCUUAUCUGGAUUCUUCUUUUUGGCAAAUAGUCGUCUUUAAAUUGGCAUAAUAAUGUAUGUCUAAACCUGCCUUAUUAUGAGAGAAGUUUAAAAAUAUAGCUUAAAAUAACAGCUAUUUUCUACAAAUUUUAUUCUAUAUCAGAAGCAGAAAUUAUUUGCAGCAAGUAGUUUGGUUUUUUUCAGUAUUAAACAUUAACACUUAGCCAGCCAAAGAAAUCUCUCUUCAUCUACUUGUGGAGGGUGAGAAGGCAAGCCACAGAAAAAUAGAAUAAAAUGGUUAUUUCUUCAAUUUAUUUGCAGCAUGGUAACCUAAAGACUGGUGCAUAGAGUAUUAGAAGUCUUCAAGUUAUCUUUACACACCAAAAUCUUAGUGAGAAGUUACUUUUAUCUGUAUCCUGAAGUGGCUAAUCCUAAUUGAUUCAGGAAGAAACACUUAAAACUUAUUUAAAACAUUCACUUCAAAUUGCAAUAAUGUCAAAUACAAAGUACUUCAUAAGCCAAUUUUAUUUUCAAGUUUAAGUCAUAGGCUCUUUCGAAUGUAGUUUUAAGUUUUUCCCCACAAAAAAAUUAUUUUUAAAACCCAUGGUGAAUUAUACAUGGAAUCUUUAAUGUUAAGGGGUUCUGCUCAGCAAUACCCCUUCCCCUGGAUUUCAAACCUGUAUUUUCUUUAUUACAAACAAAUUAUUUUGUUUGUUAAAAGAUUUGUUUGUUAAAAGGUUUGUUAAAAGAUACUAAAUGAAAACCAACUUAUUUCACUUUAUGCAUUGUGUCAAUAUUUAACCUUUACCAUACUGUUCAGCAAUGCACACUAACGUGCCAUUAAAAUGUAUAAAAGGCAAAAGAGCAAAUGUUUAUCAAAUAAAAAAUGGGUAACAGAUCACACAGUGAAGGAUGCUAACAGAAGGAUCUACAGUAAAAUAUCUAUAGAAAGAUACUCAGUGCCACUACCUCUGCAGAGCCUGAACCACAUUCUGAAGACACUGAAUAAACUCAAAACUGGACUUCUUGCAUAGCUUCUUCAUCAGAAGGUUGUCACCAAAUAGUGCUAGAGAAAAGUACAGUGACUUGUCCAAAACAUUCAAGUAACAAACCAGAGGAGUUGUAACAAUGCAAACUCUGUUAACAGCCUUUUUCUUAUCACAUUGCACUCCACAUUUUACUCCUUUUUGGCACAAGUUUUUUGGGCUGGUGGUGGUGUCAAUUGUCUUGCUUUCAUUUCAGUUUCUAAAGCCAUUUAAAUACAACAAAGUAAAAAAGGAACAGCAAACAAGGUACCAUACUUUCAAAAGUGAAUUUUGCAUCUAUGUGGAAUCAGCAGACUACAAAAGUAUUUUGGAACAGGUGGGAGACUUGUGUUACUGGCAAGAACAAGACAAAUCAAGUGAAACAAAACUUAAAAGCAAGCUAACAACCGAGAUUGGCCUCAUUAAAGCAAAUCCUAUUAAGAGCCUUACCAACUUAAAGCUAGGCAAGGAAAGCAUCUUCUGCCAACAGCGUGACUGCUGUGACCCACAACUAGGAGCAUACCUCAUGCCAGUGUCCUGGCCCCCAACUUUUCUUCACUUGAUAAUGCUUAUUCUUGUCAGAAGAAAGAGAAGUCACAUGUAGUGAUACCUGAAAACUGCAUUUGCAGAAGGCUACACAUCUCAAAAACCAGGUGUAUACUAUGGGAACAAGUAAUUGCAACUCAUACUUCUUAGGAUGCAUACUGACAAGGAAAUACAACUUCUGGCUUUCAAAACUGGUUUCAUGGCAAAAAUUACUAGAGGAUUGUUUGGAAGCUGAACUACAAAAUUUGUCUAAGUAAUUGGAAAAUACCGUUCUUCCUGCAAAAUGCAUCUGUCAUUGCAAUUGAAAAAUGCUUUCUAAUGCACUGACAGUAACACUGACAUAAGACAAACAUUUUAUGUUGUGUGUCUUCCUUACAUAAUUUGACCUACUUUGACCAGAACUUCUAAUUGUGAAUCUAAAGUGAAUUUACUUACUAAUUUAAAUUUUGUCCUGCAUCACAGUGCCCUGCCAGCAACUGCUCUGUAUGAUUAUCUCUGAAAGAUACUGACUACUGCUUGAAGAGAGCAGAAAGCAAACAAAAACCCUUGGUGAAAGGGGGAAUCCCAACAUCAGACAAACUGUGUUUGUUUUAAUAACAUGAUUCUCUUCAUAAAACUACUUGCAUGGCAUUUUCCAAAUACACAAAUUGCAUAGGGUUGAGAAUUAUUUCAUCAGAAAACAAAGUGAAAGACUGAAUGUCUUUUCAUUUGAUAAAUAUGACAUUUAUCAGUCUUCUUUUAAAGUGGGAAAAAAAUCUCAAAAAAGACAAAAUCCGUUGCUGUGUUACUACAGCACAACUUCAGCAUUUCUUGAGGGAAAGAAUUUCUUGCACAAAGAGAAAUCUCUUUCUAAUUCUUAUAACAGUGAAUAAACUUGAGCUGUCUAUCAAGAGCUAAUCCUUCAGAAGUUUUGUUUUAUUAAUUUAGAACUAUACCAAAUCAAGGUAACAUAUUUUAAAUAACUGCUAAAUAAAACAAUUUAGAAAAGCCAGACUGGAGAUAGCAUCUGAAUUCUUAUGGUUCACCAAGACAAGAAAAGUGGACCUUCAUUGAAGUAUUCCACACCAUUUGCUAGAGACAGUCAUCCCUCUCUCUCCAGCCUACUGUGGGCAAUUACAUGCAACUUCUAAAAGCAAGCAGUUAAGCUUUACCAAGGAAAUUAUGAUUGUCACAAUGCAACAGAAUAUUAAGGCCAGUGAAUAAUAACUGAAUAGUUAUAAAUAACACAAAUGUUUACUAAGGCUUGCUUUUCCAAACAGAACCAGAACAAAAGCACAACAAUUCUGUAGUGUACCAAGUGUAUAUUUCAAUUUACUGUAAUGCAGUCUAACAACAAAUUUGGUCAUAAUUUACCAGAUAUACAUAAAUGAUUUAAGUAAGUAAAAGAAGAUUCA